This 2107-nucleotide long non-coding RNA is filed under the name Theobroma cacao (cacao). Its description in RNAcentral is "long non-coding RNA (TCAC_LNC006234)". Lineage: Eukaryota; Viridiplantae; Streptophyta; Magnoliopsida; Malvales; Malvaceae. The record is from RNAcentral.
CCAUGCUCCACGCCAUUCGUGAAGCUUCCAUGCCAUUUUCUCUUUAUCCACCAUGAAAUCAAGUUUUCUUCACUUUCCUUUCUAUGUUUUCUUUUCCUUUCUUCUCCAAACUUCUUGAGCACUAAAUUUACAGCCUUUAACCCCAAUUUCCAGCACAUCUAAACCCUAGGAGAAGAAGAAAGAAAAAGAGAGAAAGGAAGAAAAAGCUUAGUUUUGGUGAUUCAAGCAAGGAACGGUAAGAAUUCUUGUUUUUGGCUUGAGUAGUCUUUGAAAAUAAGUUAGUGACUUAGAGAAAUGUCUUGUGGCAGCAAAGAUUGGCUUGAUUGGAGAAAAAUUGGUAACAUGUAAGCCAAUAAGCCCAUGGGUAUAUGAAGGACUCAAAGUGGAAAAGGAAAACGGUAAGCUUAACGCUCUGUUUUAAAGCCUACGGUUAGUUGAAUAUUGUGAGGAAUUAUGGUUCUUGAAAGGAUUUAUUUGCCGAAGCUAGUUGAAUAUUGUUAAGAUUGUAUGUCAUGUUAUUUGAAAGAAAUAAAAAAAAAAGAAUAUUGUGGAUGAAGGAUUGAGAAAUAGAGUAUUGAAAGUUAGAUAGAUAAGGAUGUGUGUAAACUAGGAAAUAAUCGAGUGAAAGUGAGAAUAAUUGUUCCUGCAAUAUAUGUGGAUUAUGUGUGGAAAUAUAAGAUGGAUUUGGGCGAAAAUUAUUUAGAAAGGUUGAAGUAGGCACGUGACAUCAUAAAUAAGUUGUCGGUGAUAUAAUCUAAGGAAUUUCGUAAGCAAUUGAUGUAAGUAAUUUUGGUAAAAAUGUAUUAAGAUGUGAGUUAAUUGAAGAUGGUUUCAUGAUAGGAUGAAAAAUAUAAAUUUGAGUAAGGAUUAAUUGAUUGAAGUGUUGCCCGUAUAUGCAUAUAAUUAAAUAUAUUGAGUUCGUAUUAUUGUUAGGAAGUGCCAAGAUAAGGAUAAAGUACUGUGCUGGCAUGCCAGAGUAGACAUCUAGAAACCGACCAGUGAAAAUAGUUAGAGAUACCUCCGAACAAAUAGCGACUUAAUAUCUCGUUGUUGCCAGGUGAGUCAACUUGCAUUUCAAAAUCGUUUUGGGAGACAUAAUUGUAUUGGUAUGAAACAUUGAAUGAUUUAUUCCAACUUGUCUUUAAAAAACGUGUGCCUUGGGAACAAGCCUUUGAUAAAAUAUUUUGAUGUUGUGAAAAUGUGAAAUGUGUAAUAAGACGAACUUAUGUGCUCCUAUACUGUGUUGAUAUAUAUAUAUGUGUGUAUACGAAUAAUGUUGUGUAAUGAUAUUGACCCGACUAUGUGUGAGUAGAAGUGUGCAUAAGCUGAUGCUGACCAGGCUAUGUGAGAGGGGGAGUGCGCAUAAGCCGAUGCUGACCCGGCUAUGUGUGAGGGGGAGUGUGCAUAAGCCGAUGCUGACCUAGUUAUGUGUUAGUAGGAGUGCACAUAAGUUGAUGCUGACCCAGCCAUGUGCUAGUGGGAGUGCAUAUGAGCUGCUGAUGAUGGGAGGGUGUGUAUGGUGAUGGAUAUAUAUAUAUAUAUAUAUAUAUACAUAGAUAGAUAUGUGUGUUAUAGAAAGUUCAUGAGUAUGGUAUAUAAUGUUGCACAUGUGAAUCUUGCAUGUUGAACUUUGGAAAUUAUUAUGCGUUUCAUGUUGGUUUUUUGUCGUUUUAGCAAGAUGGCUUUUCUUGAAAGAAAGGAAACUUUUUCAUGGUGCUUUGUUUCUCGCUGCUGUGAGAUUCAUUCUCACUAUAGCGAGAAACUCUCAAAUUUGGAAGGGUAAUACUGGUUCGGAAUCUCGCUGCAGCGAGGACCCGUCGUUUACUUGACUUGAAUUGCACGAAUGCUAUUAAAGUUUUCACUCUUCAAAUCCUUUGUUGAGCAUGGACCCUUUUUAUCAAGUGAUUUACUCAUUUGGGGUUUACAUGAGGGGUUUUGAUAAGAGCUAAACUAAAUUGCAUUGUUUUAAAGAUAAAUGCAUCAUGAUUUUCUUUAAACCUUCCUUAUUGUUUGCUCUUUCCUUUCUAUGUUCACUCAUUGAGUUUGUACUCACGUUUUUUUUUUAAAUUCAUGUUUUAGGUUUUCUGAGUUAAAGAUGAUUGGAUCC